UAGACAAAAACAACUUUGUAAUUUAUUUCUCAUAUAGGACAUGGACAUAAGCCAUGAUUGCCCUUCCUGGUUACUUUGAAGUGGCAUCUAGUCCUCUCAAACACCAAGCCAUAUCAUACCAAUACAUAAUUUGGACAAAUUAAUUAACCACCACGUGCCUAGCUAGUUUCAUCAAAAUUAUGAAGAUAUAAUUCUAUUAAAUUGUCCAAUUUUGCCAAACUUAAUGGUCCAACCAAUUAGAUUGGAUUCAAUCAUGAACAACUUUGAAAAUAAUUAAAUACGACGUUCUUAACAUGCUACAAAGAAGCUUACAUUUACAUACCUACAAGCUCUGUUGUUCGUCACUGAAACAAGCAAGAGAAAACAGAACCUACGAAUCAUCUGAAAUUCUCAUGCCAUAAUGAUCCGCCAAAUUUUGGGCAGUUUUAUCACUCAAGACACCUAUUAUCAUCUCAUACUUCUUAAAAUUUGCUUUUAGGGUCUCCACCUGUUGAUUAUGUAGCUUCUCUUCUCUGUUCAGUUGUUGCUUGAGCAAGAAAGAAGCUUCAGCAGCAUGCUUUUGGGUAAGGUGCUUCAGUUUCUUUGCCACCUCAAAAUCAGGGUCACUUGGGUCUAACCAACGGCAAUGUAUCUUUCUACCAGGCUUCACUGGGCGAUCAUCAAACAUCUCAGCUUCAGCAAGACGGCCCCUCACAGGUCUUGGCAUCCCAGCCAUCAUGAAAGGAAAUUGGGUUAUUGAUGAGAUAACUUUUUUGGCUUUCUCAGCAUUCUCCAUCUCUACCAAAGCACAACAAGGGAUGUUCCCAGCUUCCAAGUAGUUUGGAAUAAAGCUUACACUCUCAACAGUUCCAAACUGAUCUAAAGCCUUUUUUAAGACAGGUUCAGUAACUUGUGGUGAGAGGUUGUCAACAAAAAUUGUCCGCUUCACUUUUUCUUCAAAUGCAGCAUACUUUGCUUCAGCUGUAGGCUCCAUGCUAUAGUGCAUGCAAUCCUUGGCGAAUGAAAACCCUAGAUUCCCAAAUGCUCUUAUCAAAAACCCUUGAACAGGCUAAUAACAAAUAUUGGAGCGAAAUAACAUAUGAGAAAGAGAGGAUUAAGGAUUUUACAUUCUCUGCUAUCGAGCGAAAAACUUCGUUGCCCCAGUGAGUUAAAUGGGCUCGCCGAGAAAAGCAAUUCCUUUUCUUAUUUUUUCUGGUUAUCUGUAGCCAGGCA
RNAcentral lists this unclassified non-coding RNA (1212 nucleotides) under Hevea brasiliensis (rubber tree). The record is from RNAcentral. Lineage: Eukaryota; Viridiplantae; Streptophyta; Magnoliopsida; Malpighiales; Euphorbiaceae.